CUGCGGGGCACGCGGGCCCGAGCGGGACUGGCCGGCUGCGAGUGGGCGGCCGCGGAGCUGGGGCCUGGGAGGGGACGGUCCUGCCGGGAGGAGGCGGAGGCAGGACAGGGUGGGGUUGCGGGCCCGGCGCCGCCCCUCCCGGCUCCUGGCUCCCCUCGCCUGGUGUCCCGCGCCUGGCCGGGAGGCGGCGGGUCUCGAUCGCGCGGGCCUCCCUGGAGGGGCGCGGGCUCUGGCGGCGGGGAGGCCCCUGCUCAGCGCAAUGGCGGGCUUGCAUCCUUGGGUGAUUUUUUCGGGCCCCUUGUGGCCUUUGCUCACGCCUAGAGAGCAAACCACCCGCACCACCCAGGAGCAGAUAAAAUCGAGACCACAGCCUCCAAGGGAGCGCGCCUCCAUCCUGUUUGCCCCUCGGGUCGCCGUCUGAGGGCGGGCCCGUGCCCGCUCAGAGCCUACAUCCGAGUCGUAUAAAGCGCUGACAGCAGAGAAAGCUGCGGCUUUGCUCCGUGCAGAUGAGCAGGGGCUGAGGGAGGACGCUGUGCUCUCAGUAGCCGCGCUUGGCCCGGGGACCCUGCAGGCUUAGAAACGUGAGUCACGCCUGCAGCGUGGCGAGGAAACGCCGUUGAUGUGGCAUCCUCAGCCUGGGGUUGUGGCUUUAAGCCAGAAGGUCAAAAAAAGAAGUCUUCCUGAGCUGAGACUGCCCUGAGUCGCUUUAGGGGCGAAAUUCCGAGCAUCCGGUUGCAUUUCCUGAGGAUGACACGCGUGGUGGGUGUGGACGGCCUACAGGGGUCCAUCCUCAGCGGCCCCUCUGCAGGGCAGUCUCGCUCUCACUCUCCCAGCUGACUCCUCUCAAGCCUGUUAACCAUUGUACACGUUCCCAAGGACUCCAAGCAGGUUGGACUUCAGGGAACAUUGCAGUUUGGGUCUUGGCCAUUGUUUACACUCCACCUUGCAUAAGUGCUUGAGGAUCACACAACCAGAUACGUAGAUCAUCCGUAGAUCAUCGCAGUCACAUCGAAGAUUUGUUUAUAAUAGGAAAAAAAAAAGCUACCCACUGUCAUGCGCUGGGAAACUAGUGAGCUGAAGGAUGACCCAUCUGUAAAUGGGGUGCUCCCUAAUGGACAGGGCACCUUUCAGAAGCCUGUGCUGUGUCUCCUCGACCCCACUGUGAGCUCCCCGUCCCGCACGCUGAUCUAAAUCAAGCUGCUAACCUCAUGGAGAGGCGUCCGCACGGGAGCCCCGGCCCUGAGAUGCGGGGCAGUCACCCAUUCAAUUAGGAAACACCAGCAAGUGCCAGAAGCUUCUCAUUAGCAGGUCAGCUUUCAAUAACUGGUUUAUCCAGGUGUGUGAGACCCGAUAAGCAGAAGGGAAAGCUCUUAGCGACCUAUCCAGCUGCUCUGCACUGGGCUCCUGACAUCCCAGAAAUCAGUACAUCUGUCUUCUGGGGUCCAAGAGCAGGGAGUGUGGGUGUGGCAGCAACCCAGCAUCUACCAUGCCGACCAUGUGCCAUGCCAUGCACCGCGUGUCGUAACAGGACAACAGAGCAAGAGACCCAGCAGACAGGGGUCCCCAGCAACCUCAUGAAGCGCCAUCCACUCACCUCCAGACAGUCUGGGGAGAGAGACUGAAACUUCUGUCUAAGCCACUUCAUCUUUGAUCUCCUUGUUUUUGUGGUUCAGGUUGUAUCUUAAUAAAUAAAACGUGUUUGAGUUCAUGUUUACAUCCAACCAUUAAAAAAGUAUAUUUUGCCAUGAGAUAAACAAUGAGACCCUGCACGAGAUGAAAUAUUUCCAUGGUCACUCGUCAUCUCCUUACAGAGAAUUACUAAGAUUUUAUUAAAACAGUGUAGAUUAUGAGAGUAUGGUGACUCUAAAGUGAAGUUUACAUUCAGAUGACCCCCAGGCCCGCGUAUGGAGCUCCGGUUCUGUAGCUGAAGAUGGGACAGAGGUGCAGGGAGAGCUGCAGUCGCGUUCUCGGAGGCAUGGCCCCGUGUUGAUCGGACACGUCAUGUUCAGUCAGUGCCAUGCAGGUGUGCAGCGGACGGUCUGGCUGAGGCCGGGGGUGCCACGGUCCCCCCGUCUGCUGAGUAGUAGCAAAGCUGAAUAUUUUCCUGGAAACAUUUUGUGCGCCCCUGGGGUGUGCUGCUGGGGACAAUGGGAAGUCUUUGGAACUCAGGAGCAGCGCACGCUUGGUAUUUGUGCUGGAAGAUGACCAGCCACAGACUGGAGAUCAGGAUGGCCCGAGACCAGGGCCACUGCUGACCCUGGGCAGGGAGGACACAGUGUGGCAGAGGCCUGCAUUGGUGGGAUGGGAGGAGGCCUUGCUGGAGAGCUCAGAGGUGGAAUAUGGUGGUCUCAUGUGGCUUCUCUUACCACAGACCCCAAGACAAAGGUGCCCACUGGUGGGAGGCUAUGACCAUUGUGCUGAGUCGCACGACCUGGAGCAUCUCUGAGAGAGCAGAACUCACCGUCCCCACUGCAUAGCUCUUCAGGCCCAGGGCUUUCGAGGAAGAAACAGGUGAUCAUCUUCCACCUGGCAGCUCCCAGGAGACGGGUGGGGUCAGUGGACCCUGUUCGCAGAACUAAAGGCGGGAAGACCGUGGCUUCCAUUCACCUCCUCAGAAGUGAGCCAAGGGCCCUGGGCUGGCGACAAGGACUCUAAGGAGCUUGCGGGACCGUGCGGUGUUCGUGACGACAAGGACUCUAAGAAGCUUGCAGGACCGUGCGGUGUUCGUGACGACAAGGACUCUAAGAAGCUUGCAGGACUGUGCGGUGUUCGUGACGACAAGGACUCUAAGAAGCUUGCAGGACUGUGCGGUGUUCGUGACUUCCCCUUGCCUGUUGUUUUUAAAAUCUUUUGUUAGUUUCUCUGUAGUUAUUGGCAGAAAAAUCUUUAUUCGUGCCCCUGUUCAAGAUUAGCAAGAAAGAGGAAAUGUGGAAAAGCCACAUCCUGUUUUGCAGCCAGGCUUGUGUGUGGUGGAGGGACAGGGGACAGGACCCUACGGGAUGGGAUGAAGAGGGAUAAAGACGGCCUGGGAUGGAGACGGUGGGAAGGCGCCUGUGAUUCCUUAGAGCAGCACAGGCGGUGCAGAGGCUCCAGCUGGGGUCUGGAGGAUGAGGCUGCCAUCAAGCUCCACCAUGGGCCCUGGGGAGGGGUAGGCAGGGCAGGGGGACAGCCAGAGGAUGGGGAAGAGGAAUGGGUGUACCAUAGACCUACGGUGACAUGGAACAGGCACUAGUAGGAAGGCAGCCGGGUGUUUGGGGGCCCGGGCCACAGCAGAUUUCAACAAUAACAUGGACAAAACAUGGAAAGAGCAAAGAAGACAGUGCAGGUGGCCCACAAGCACAUGGAAAGGCACUUAGCUUCACCAGUCAGCAGGGAAAUGCGAAUCAAAACCACAGUGGGUCGUCACUUCACACCCUUUAGGAUGGGUAUUGUAAAAACAAAAACCAGAAAAGAACACGCACUGAUGAGGGCGUAGAGAGAUUGGAACCCUUGUGUGCUGUUGGUGAGAAUGUGAAAUGAUGCAGCUGCUCCAGAAAACAGCACGGCGGUGUAUUAGUCAGGGUUCUCCAGAGGGACAGAACUAAUGGAAUAGAUACAUAUAUAUGAAGGGGAGUUUAUUAAGUAUUAACUCACACAAUCACAGGGUCCCACAAUAGGCCGUCUGCAGGCUGAGGAGCAAGGAGAGCCAGUCCCAGUUCCAAAACAGAAGAACUUGGAGUCUGAUGUUCAAGAGCAGGAAGCAUCCAGCACGGGAGAAAGAUGUAGUCUGGGAGGCUAAGCCAGUGUCUGUUUUCACAUUUUUCUGCCUGCUUUAUAUUCUAGCCGCCGUGGCAGCUGAUUAGAUGGAGCCCAUCCGGAUUGAGGGUGGAUCUGCCUUUCCCAGCACACUGACUCAAAUGUUCAUCUCCUUUGGCAACACCCUCAGAGACACACCCAGGAUCAAUACUUUGUAUCCCUCAAUCCAAUCCAGUUGACACUCAGUAUCAACCAUCACAG
RNAcentral lists this long non-coding RNA (3996 nucleotides) under Homo sapiens (human). Its description in RNAcentral is "long non-coding RNA NONHSAT214176.1". The record is from RNAcentral. Lineage: Eukaryota; Metazoa; Chordata; Mammalia; Primates; Hominidae.